GUGGGGAAUCUUAGACAAUGGGCGCAAGCCUGAUCUAGCCAUGCCGCGUGAGCGAUGAAGGCCUUAGGGUUGUAAAGCUCUUUCGCUGGGGAAGAUAAUGACUGUACCCAGUAAAGAAGCCCCGGCUAACUCCGUGCCAGCAGCCGCGGUAAUACGGAGGGGGCUAGCGUUGUUCGGAAUUACUGGGCGUAAAGCGCGCGUAGGCGGACCAGAAAGUUGGAGGUGAAAUCCCAGGGCUCAACCUUGGAACUGCCUUCAAAACUCCUGGUCUGGAGUUCGAGAGAGGUGAGUGGAAUUCCGAGUGUAGAGGUGAAAUUCGUAGAUAUUCGGAGGAACACCAGUGGCGAAGGCGGCUCACUGGCUCGAUACUGACGCUGAGGUGCGAAAGCGUGGGGAGCAAACAGGAUUAGAUACCCUAGUAGUCC
RNAcentral lists this ribosomal RNA (425 nucleotides) under uncultured bacterium. RNAcentral describes it as "partial 16S ribosomal RNA". It matches the Rfam family "Bacterial small subunit ribosomal RNA", at positions 354 to 796 of the family's 1533-position model. The record is from RNAcentral.